AUUGAACGCUGGCGGCAGGCCUAACACAUGCAAGUCGAGCGGAUGAAGGGAGCUUGCUCCUGGAUUCAGCGGCGGACGGGUGAGUAAUGCCUAGGAAUCUGCCUGGUAGUGGGGGAUAACGUCCGGAAACGGGCGCUAAUACCGCAUACGUCCUGAGGGAGAAAGUGGGGGAUCUUCGGACCUCACGCUAUCAGAUGAGCCUAGGUCGGACUAGCUAGUUGGUGGGGUAAAGGCUUACCAAGGCGACGAUCCGUAACUGGUCUGAGAGGAUGAUCAGUCACACUAGAACUGAGACACAGUCCAGACUCCUACGGGAGGCAGCAGUGGGGAAUAUAGGACAAUGGGCGAAAACCUGAUCCAGCCAUGCCGCGUGUGUGAAGAAGGUCUUCGGCUUGUAAAGCACUUUAAGUUGGGAGGAAGGGCAGUAAGUUAAUACCUUGCUGUUUUGGCGUAACCAACAGAAAAAGCACGGGCUAACUGCG
RNAcentral lists this ribosomal RNA (482 nucleotides) under uncultured bacterium. RNAcentral describes it as "partial 16S ribosomal RNA". It matches the Rfam family "Bacterial small subunit ribosomal RNA", at positions 30 to 505 of the family's 1533-position model. The record is from RNAcentral.